RNAcentral lists this ribosomal RNA (376 nucleotides) under uncultured bacterium. RNAcentral describes it as "bacterial SSU rRNA". It matches the Rfam family "Bacterial small subunit ribosomal RNA", at positions 521 to 896 of the family's 1533-position model. The record is from RNAcentral.
UAAUACGAAGGGGGCUAGCGUUGCUCGGAAUGACUGGGCGUAAAGGGCGCGUAGGCGGAUGGUACAGUCAGAUGUGAAAUUCCCGGGCUUAACCUGGGGGCUGCAUUUGAUACGUAUUGUCUUGAGUUCGGAAGAGGGUCGUGGAAUUUCCAGUGUAGAGGUGAAAUUCGUAGAUAUUGGAAAGAACACCGGUGGCGAAGGCGGCGACCUGGUCCGACACUGACGCUGAGGCGCGAAAGCGUGGGGAGCAAACAGGAUUAGAUACCCUGGUAGUCCACGCUGUAAACGAUGUGUGCUGGAUGUUGGGUGACUUAGUCACUCAGUGUCGUAGCUAACGCGAUAAGCACACCGCCUGGGGAGUACGGCCGCAAGGUUG